This 117-nucleotide small RNA is filed under the name Salmonella enterica subsp. enterica. RNAcentral's name for it is "partial RtT sRNA". It matches the Rfam family "RtT RNA", at positions 1 to 113 of the family's 130-position model. Rfam says of the family: This family represents a bacterial cis-regulatory element known as RtT RNA. The exact function of RtT is unknown although it is thought that it may be involved in changing the cellular response in relation to amino acid starvation. The record is from RNAcentral. Lineage: Bacteria; Pseudomonadati; Pseudomonadota; Gammaproteobacteria; Enterobacterales; Enterobacteriaceae.
UGUAUCUGAAGUCUGACGAGGAUGAGAACCUCCGGGGGCAAGAGGUUCGACCCGAGCGAAGCGAGAGAACGUUGCGUCAGCAACGGCCCGCAGGGCGAGCCACGCAGUGGCGAGUCA